This is a non-coding RNA of Cinara cedri, 338 nucleotides long. Lineage: Eukaryota; Metazoa; Arthropoda; Insecta; Hemiptera; Aphididae. The record is from the annotation of a GenBank genome assembly.
UAAGCGUGAUAAAAUAAUAGAUAAGCCGGGACUCGGAUCCACACUAGGACGGACGUUGUCGUCGAACAUGUUCGUUGAUAAUGUUUAGUCAGUACGUGUUUAUUAUGUGUGCAAAUACAAUAAUCAAAUGUUCGCUCAACAGGCGGCAUUUGAACGGACAUCAAAAAAAAAAAAAUGUGGCAAUGCCGUCUUAAGUGUGUAGACGUGAUCGAUAAAUUAGUUAUAAUAUAUACAUACAAUUUAUUUAGCUUUAAAUGAAUAAGUAUUUUUGAAUAAAUAAUUAUUGUUUAAAAAUUGUACAAGAAUUAACUAAUUAUUGAUCAAGCUUAACAAUAGAU